This 1439-nucleotide ribosomal RNA is filed under the name Limosilactobacillus reuteri. Its description in RNAcentral is "bacterial SSU rRNA". It matches the Rfam family "Bacterial small subunit ribosomal RNA". Lineage: Bacteria; Bacillati; Bacillota; Bacilli; Lactobacillales; Lactobacillaceae. The record is from RNAcentral.
UGCAAGUCGUACGCACUGGCCCAACUGAUUGAUGGUGCUUGCACCUGAUUGACGAUGGAUCACCAGUGAGUGGCGGACGGGUGAGUAACACGUAGGUAACCUGCCCCGGAGCGGGGGAUAACAUUUGGAAACAGAUGCUAAUACCGCAUAACAACAAAAGCCACAUGGCUUUUGUUUGAAAGAUGGCUUUGGCUAUCACUCUGGGAUGGACCUGCGGUGCAUUAGCUAGUUGGUAAGGUAACGGCUUACCAAGGCGAUGAUGCAUAGCCGAGUUGAGAGACUGAUCGGCCACAAUGGAACUGAGACACGGUCCAUACUCCUACGGGAGGCAGCAGUAGGGAAUCUUCCACAAUGGGCGCAAGCCUGAUGGAGCAACACCGCGUGAGUGAAGAAGGGUUUCGGCUCGUAAAGCUCUGUUGUUGGAGAAGAACGUGCGUGAGAGUAACUGUUCACGCAGUGACGGUAUCCAACCAGAAAGUCACGGCUAACUACGUGCCAGCAGCCGCGGUAAUACGUAGGUGGCAAGCGUUAUCCGGAUUUAUUGGGCGUAAAGCGAGCGCAGGCGGUUGCUUAGGUCUGAUGUGAAAGCCUUCGGCUUAACCGAAGAAGUGCAUCGGAAACCGGGCGACUUGAGUGCAGAAGAGGACAGUGGAACUCCAUGUGUAGCGGUGGAAUGCGUAGAUAUAUGGAAGAACACCAGUGGCGAAGGCGGCUGUCUGGUCUGCAACUGACGCUGAGGCUCGAAAGCAUGGGUAGCGAACAGGAUUAGAUACCCUGGUAGUCCAUGCCGUAAACGAUGAGUGCUAGGUGUUGGAGGGUUUCCGCCCUUCAGUGCCGGAGCUAACGCAUUAAGCACUCCGCCUGGGGAGUACGACCGCAAGGUUGAAACUCAAAGGAAUUGACGGGGGCCCGCACAAGCGGUGGAGCAUGUGGUUUAAUUCGAAGCUACGCGAAGAACCUUACCAGGUCUUGACAUCUUGCGCUAACCUUAGAGAUAAGGCGUUCCCUUCGGGGACGCAAUGACAGGUGGUGCAUGGUCGUCGUCAGCUCGUGUCGUGAGAUGUUGGGUUAAGUCCCGCAACGAGCGCAACCCUUGUUACUAGUUGCCAGCAUUAAGUUGGGCACUCUAGUGAGACUGCCGGUGACAAACCGGAGGAAGGUGGGGACGACGUCAGAUCAUCAUGCCCCUUAUGACCUGGGCUACACACGUGCUACAAUGGACGGUACAACGAGUCGCAAGCUCGCGAGAGCAAGCUAAUCUCUUAAAGCCGUUCUCAGUUCGGACUGUAGGCUGCAACUCGCCUACACGAAGUCGGAAUCGCUAGUAAUCGCGGAUCAGCAUGCCGCGGUGAAUACGUUCCCGGGCCUUGUACACACCGCCCGUCACACCAUGGGAGUUUGUAACGCCCAAAGUCGGUGGCCUAACCUUUAUGGAGGGA